UGCUUAUUUUAGGACAGUAAGCUUGUCCUUGGGAAACCAUCAAUUUAUGUCGGCGAAGUGGUUUCCCCUACAACGCUGACCUAUAUCAAGAUCAACUCAACGAGAUCUACAAUAUUUAUUAUAGACAUAUGCAUCAACAACCGCCCUUUUAAAGUUUUUAUAAAUAGAAAGGAAGAGGGGGUUGGAGAUCUCGAAUGUGGUGAUGUUGGAGAGACCAAU
Molecule: long non-coding RNA, 219 nt
Filed under: Sorghum bicolor (sorghum)
Lineage: Eukaryota; Viridiplantae; Streptophyta; Magnoliopsida; Poales; Poaceae
Description: long non-coding RNA (SBIC_LNC010127)
Source: RNAcentral